RNAcentral lists this ribosomal RNA (458 nucleotides) under uncultured bacterium. RNAcentral's name for it is "bacterial SSU rRNA". It matches the Rfam family "Bacterial small subunit ribosomal RNA", at positions 28 to 500 of the family's 1533-position model. The record is from RNAcentral.
GAUGAACGCUGGCGGCGUGCCUAACACAUGCAAGUCGAACGAUGAAACCGCCCUCGGGCGGACAUGAAGUGGCGAACGGGUGAGUAACACGUGACCGACCUGCCCCCCGCCCAGGGACAGCCCCCCGAAAGGGGGAUUAAUACCUGGUACUCCGGAAGCGGCGCAUGCCGCGGCCGGGAAAGCUCUCGCGGCGGGGGAUGGGGUCGCGGCCCAUCAGGUAGACGGCGGGGCAGAGGCCCACCGUGCCGACGACGGGUAGCCGGGUUGAGAGACCGACCGGCCACAUUGGGACUGAGAUACGGCCCAGACUCCUACGGGAGGCAGCAGUGGGGAAUUUUGCGCAAUGGGGGCAACCCUGACGCAGCAACGCCGCGUGCGGGACGAAGGCGUCCGCGUCGUAAACCGCUUUCAGCGGGGAACACCUAAACGAGGGUACCCGCAGAAGAAGCCCCGGCUAA